GAUGAACGCUGGCGGCGUGCUUAACACAUGCAAGUCGAACGGUAAGGCCCUUCGGGGUACACGAGUGGCGAACGGGUGAGUAACACGUGGGUGAUCUGCCCUGCGCUUCGGGAUAAGCCUGGGAAACUGGGUCUAAUACCGGAUAGGACUCCGGACUGCAUGGUCUGGGGUGGAAAGCUUUUGCGGUGUGGGAUGGGCCCGCGGCCUAUCAGCUUGGUGGUGGGGGGAUGGCCUACCAAGGCGACGACGGGUAGCCGGCCUGAGAGGGGGACCGGCCACACUGGGACUGGGAUACGGCCCAGACUCCUACGGGGGGCAGCAGUGGGGAAUAUUGCACAAUGGGCGCAAGCCUGAUGCAGCGACGCCGCGUGAGGGAUGACGGCCUUCGGGUUGUAAACCUCUUUCAGCAUCGACGAAGCGAAAGUGACGGUAGGUGCAGAAGAAGGACCGGCCAACUACGUGCCAGCAGCCGCAGUAA
Molecule: ribosomal RNA, 478 nt
Filed under: uncultured bacterium
Lineage: Bacteria
Description: partial 16S ribosomal RNA
Rfam family: Bacterial small subunit ribosomal RNA
Source: RNAcentral